This 503-nucleotide ribosomal RNA is filed under the name uncultured bacterium. Its description in RNAcentral is "partial 16S ribosomal RNA". It matches the Rfam family "Bacterial small subunit ribosomal RNA", at positions 30 to 523 of the family's 1533-position model. The record is from RNAcentral.
AUUGAACGCUGGCGGCAGGCUUAACACAUGCAAGUCGAGCGGGGUGAUGGUGCUUGCACUAUCACUUAGCGGCGGACGGGUGAGUAAUGCUUAGGAAUCUGCCUAUUAGUGGGGGACAACAUCUCGAAAGGGAUGCUAAUACCGCAUACGUCCUACGGGAGAAAGCAGGGGAUCACUUGUGACCUUGCGCUAAUAGAUGAGCCUAAGUCGGAUUAGCUAGUUGGUGGGGUAAAGGCCUACCAAGGCGACGAUCUGUAGCGGGUCUGAGAGGAUGAACCGCCACACUGGGACUGAGACACGGCCCAGACUCCUACGGGAAGCAGCAGUGGGGAAGAUUGGACAAUGGGGGGAACCCUGAUCCAGCCAUGCCGCGUGUGUGAAGAAGGCCUUAUGGUUGUAAAGCACUUUAAGCGAGGAGGAGGCUUACCUAGUUAAUACCUGGGAUAAGUGGACGUUACUCGCAGAAUAAGCACCGGCUAACUCUGUGCCAGCCGCCGCGGUAA